GGGGAGUUAGUCUAGACAGGUAUGACGAUGGGCUCCAGACCCGUAAAGAAUGAGUAUGUCUCAUUCUUGGGCAAAGGUCAUCGGUUCAAAUCCGGUACUCCCCACCA
Molecule: transfer RNA, 107 nt
Filed under: Thermoproteota archaeon
Lineage: Archaea; Thermoproteati; Thermoproteota
Description: Crenarchaeota archaeon (anaerobic digester metagenome) tRNA-Trp
Rfam family: tRNA
About the family: Transfer RNA (tRNA) molecules are approximately 80 nucleotides in length. Their secondary structure includes four short double-helical elements and three loops (D, anti-codon, and T loops). Further hydrogen bonds mediate the characteristic L-shaped molecular structure. tRNAs have two regions of fundamental functional importance: the anti-codon, which is responsible for specific mRNA codon recognition, and the 3' end, to which the tRNAs corresponding amino acid is attached (by aminoacyl-tRNA synthetases). tRNAs cope with the degeneracy of the genetic code in two manners: having more than one tRNA (with a specific anti-codon) for a particular amino acid; and 'wobble' base-pairing, i.e. permitting non-standard base-pairing at the 3rd anti-codon position.
Source: RNAcentral